UACCCAGACCCUCCGCUACGUCAGCAGGGAGGAAACGGCCCUCUCCCGUGUUCAUCACACUGGGCAUGCUCUCCUCAGGAGACUGGCCACAAAAAGGAUCAUCCAGUCUGGUCCUGGAAGCAAGAGAAAAUGUGGUGAGACAAAAGAAAGAACUACCGCCAAGGAGGGUCACCUGAGAGAAGAGGGACCUCACAAGUGCUGUGGCUUCUUGAUCAGUAUCCUCUCUGUGUGCCAUUUCAACUCAGACCAAAAAGACCAAGAAGUAUUCUAGGAAAAUCAAGACUUUCUUGAGGCCAAGCUGUCGUUACUCACCUGCUAAUAGUGCAUCUCUGCAAAAGCCAGAAAUCAUCUUUGCUGCAAGUACAUCUUCAAUGACACCAGUACCUCCCAGAUGCACAGAAGUCAUGUCCAGAGACUGGCUAGCUGCUGGGCCUAAGAUGGGAGCAGGACCUGAAGAGAUAAAUGAGCCAGCGCACUUUACCC
This is a long non-coding RNA of Jaculus jaculus (lesser Egyptian jerboa), 483 nucleotides long. RefSeq lists it as uncharacterized. The record is from RefSeq and is a predicted model, not a curated record. The transcript is spliced from 3 exons. NCBI's taxonomy places the organism in Eukaryota, Metazoa, Chordata, Mammalia, Rodentia, Dipodidae.